This 337-nucleotide ribosomal RNA is filed under the name uncultured Nitrospira sp. RNAcentral describes it as "bacterial SSU rRNA". It matches the Rfam family "Bacterial small subunit ribosomal RNA", at positions 335 to 672 of the family's 1533-position model. The record is from RNAcentral. Lineage: Bacteria; Pseudomonadati; Nitrospirota; Nitrospiria; Nitrospirales; Nitrospiraceae.
ACUCCUACGGGAGGCAGCAGUAAGGAAUAUUGCCCCNUUUNAGCGAAAGCCUGACGCAGCGACGCCGCGUGGGGGAUGAANGUCUUCGGAUUGUGAACCCCUUUCGGGAGGGAAGAUGGAGCGAGCAAUCGUUCGGACGGUACCUCCAGAAGCAGCCACGGCCAACUUCGUGCCAGCAGCCGCGGUAAUACGAAGGUGGCAUGCGUUGUUCGGAUUCACUGGGCGUACAGGGUGUGUAGGCGGUAUGGUAAGCCUUCUGUUAAAGCUUCGGGCCCAACCCGGAAAGCGCAGAGGGUACUGCCAGGCUAGAGGGUGGGAGAGGAGCGCGGAAUUCCCG